Non-coding RNA from Oryzias latipes (Japanese medaka), 1515 nucleotides. The record is from RefSeq and is a predicted model, not a curated record. Lineage: Eukaryota; Metazoa; Chordata; Actinopteri; Beloniformes; Adrianichthyidae.
UUAAAUGUAAUUGACUUUAUUUUCUGCUUGGUUUCCUUCUAUGCUGUGAUUUCUGUGUUAUUUAUUCUUUCACAACGAAAAACGAUUUGAACCAAAAAUACUGUUUAUGUAGCAUUAAUUAUGAGUUAAUAAACUAAACUAAAGCUAUAAACACCUUAAUAACUCCUAAUGCACUCAUGUGAACACUUUGAUGUGCCGACUUUGCUGUUUUAGUGUCAUGGUCCCUCCAGGAGUCCUCCCCCCUCCCGUCGCUGCUGUGCUUCUCAGAUUGGAUCCAGCUGUUGGCACUCACCUCAUCAUCCAGCCUGCUACUUAAGAGAAACCUCUACCAGCAUUCUUUGCCAGACAGAUUCCACGUGUGCCAACCUGGGUCCUACCUCCACACGAGCCUGCUGAAAAUCCUCAGAGAUCCAAAACUUCCAGCCAAGGCACGACUCCGAGCCACGGCAAGACUCCACACCACGCAACUUCUCUCAACCUCUCCUCAAGAGUUGCUAUGCCGUUGGAUAUACAUCAUCCAUACCUACCCAAUGGUCUUCAUCCGAUUACCAUCUACAGACUGGGACAAUAUGUCAUUAAAUCCAGUUCGAUCUCCUGUUGUCCUGUUGACAUUUAGACUUUUAAAACAAAUUGACGCACACACAAAAAAGAAACAAAAUCAGUUUCCUGCUUGGCAAGUUUCAGUUUGUUUCCAAUUUUUCUUCAUAAUAAUCUUAGUUCCAGAAAUGUGCGCUCAGUUUUGAAAUUGUCUUGAAAUAAUCCAGACUGAUCACAGGUAUUAAUAUGGUUCAAUUUUGUGUUUGCAGUGAUGAGAAAAUUAUAAAUAUAAGUUUUGAAAUCAUUGUUGCGCAAAGCAUCUGACUGAUCACGUGAUAUGGAUUGAACAGCUGAGCGUGCUGCGUCAUUUAUUUAAUGGCGACGCACGCACUUCAUUCAGGAAAAGCAUCGGCGAGACACAAGCCUUGUCAGUCCGUGCAUAAAGCUUGUUUCGUACCUGUGUGCAAUUGAGUGGUCCAUAUUAAUUUGUUGAAGAGGCAGCCGGUAAGAAAAGACUUUAUCCAAGCGCUAAGAUUGCGCGAUCACUUGUUUCCUUGUUUGUUUGGUGUGUUGUGGGACCGGAGUGUGCGCUCCGCAAAUGUUUGUGUGUACUUCAGGUACCAGUGGGAAUUUUCUGCAUUAAGGAUUAGAUGUUUAUUUCGUCGGUGUGCUUUGUAACUUUUGUAAAUUUACACUGGGAAGUUCUUUAUGAAUGUGAAUUUUUGCUAAAUAAUGAGAUUUUAAAGUAAUUCUUGAAUAAAUUUGGAAUUAAUACAUGAACUUAAAUAAGAAUGUUAUUAAAGUAAAUGAGUAAUGUUGCUAAUUAACUGAGGCACUUUAAAUUGCAUAAAUGUUUGUUGUUAAUGUGUAUGUUGAAUUUUGUAAUAUUUAUUACUGUUAUUGUGUGUGUUUAAGGUUUUUACCUAUUGAUUGCUGCCAGAUCAAAUGGAAAUAAAUUAAAGUUUGGAAAUUGAUCUC